Non-coding RNA from Paramuricea clavata, 389 nucleotides. The record is from the annotation of a GenBank genome assembly. Lineage: Eukaryota; Metazoa; Cnidaria; Anthozoa; Malacalcyonacea; Plexauridae.
GUUCAUUUCCAUUUAUUGAACUCCAGAAUAUUAAUAUAAUUCACAGAACAUUAACACUUAUAUUCUUAAGAAAACACUAUUUCUUUACGCUGCUUCACAUUUACUGCAAGAUAUUCAGCGCUAAAAAUCUAAACUUAGCCUACAAUAAUAAUACAAAAGCAGAACGCUUUAUCUUUAAGCUAGUAUUGAAAUUAACAUUGAUGAAUAAAAGUCAAUUGUCCAAACAAAUAGCUACUAUUUCUAAAAGAUGUCUACUACCAGUAAAUAUUAUAUACCCUUUACAAUUAUUUUGUUCAUGUAACAAAAGCCCCCCUCACCAAAAACGACAAUUCUUAUAGUCUUACAAUAGUAAUGCGUUAUGCUUGAAUAUUAUGGUAACUGAAAGUUUG